Molecule: small nucleolar RNA, 84 nt
Organism: Trachemys scripta elegans
Lineage: Eukaryota; Metazoa; Chordata; Testudines; Emydidae
Source: RefSeq, a predicted model, not a curated record
GCGGUCGGUGAUGAUGCUAACUCACUCUCUUCGAGUCUCACGACCAUGAGACAACAUCCUACAUGCACUACCAUCUGAGACCAC